Molecule: ribosomal RNA, 441 nt
Filed under: uncultured bacterium
Lineage: Bacteria
Description: partial 16S ribosomal RNA
Rfam family: Bacterial small subunit ribosomal RNA
Source: RNAcentral
CCUACGGGCGGCUGCAGUGGGGAAUAUUGCACAAUGGGGGAAACCCUGAUGCAGCAACGCCGCGUGGGUGAAGGCGCGUUUAGGCGUGUAAAGCCCUGUCAGCGGGGAAGAAGAAAGACGGUACCCGACCAAGAAGCCCCGGCUAACUACGUGCCAGCAGCCGCGGUAAUACGUAGGGGGCGAGCGUUAUCCGGAAUUACUGGGUGUAAAGGGAGCGUAGACGGCGAGGUAAGCCUGAGGUGGAAGGCCGCGGCCUAACCGGGGAACUGCUUUGGAAACUGUUGUGCUGGAGUGUGGGAGGGGUAGGCGGAAUUCCUGGUGUAGCGGUGAAAUGCGUAGAGAUCAGGCGGAACACCGGUGGCGAAGGCGGCUUACUGGACCAUAACUGACGUUGAGGCUCGAAAGCGUGGGGAGCGAACAGGAUUAGAUACCCUGGUAGUC